Molecule: ribosomal RNA, 403 nt
Filed under: Fusobacteriota bacterium
Lineage: Bacteria; Fusobacteriati; Fusobacteriota
Description: Fusobacteria bacterium partial 16S ribosomal RNA
Rfam family: Bacterial small subunit ribosomal RNA
Source: RNAcentral
UGGGGAAUAUUGCACAAUGGGGGAAACCCUGAUGCAGCGACGCCGCGUGAGCGAAGAAGGUUUUCGAAUCGUAAAGCUCUGUCCUAUGGGAAGAUAAUGACGGUACCAUAGGAGGAAGCCCCGGCUAACUACGUGCCAGCAGCCGCGGUAAUACGUAGGGGGCAAGCGUUGUCCGGAAUCACUGGGCGUAAAGGGUUCGCAGGCGGAAAUGCAAGUCAGUUGUGAAAGGCAGAGGCUCAACCUCUGUAAGCAAUUGAAACUGUAUUUCUUGAGAUGUGGAGAGGCAAGUGGAAUUCCUAGUGUAGCGGUGAAAUGCGUAGAUAUUAGGAAGAAUACCGGUGGCGAAGGCGACUUGCUGGACACAAACUGACGCUGAGGAACUAAAGCGUGGGUAGCAAACAGG